GAAUCAUCGAAUCUUUGAACGCACCUUGCACUCCUUGGUAUUCCGAGGAGUAUGCCUGUUUGAGUCUCAUGGUAUUCUCAACCCCUAAAUUUUUGUAAUGAAGGUUUAGCGGGCUUGGACUUGGAGGUUGUGUCGGCCCUUGUCGGUCGACUCCUCUGAAAUGCAUUAGCGUGAAUCUUACGGAUCGCCUUCAGUGUGAUAAUUAUCUGCGCUGUGGUGUUGAAGUAUUUAUGGUGUUCAUGCUUCGAACCGUCUCCUUGCCGAGACAAUCAUUUGACAAUCUGAGCUCAAAUCAGGUAGGACUACCCGCUGAACUUAAGCAUAUCAAUAAGCGGAGGAAAAGAAACUAACAAGGAUUCCCCUAGUAACUGCGAGUGAAGCGGGAAAAGCUCAAAUUUAAAAUCUGGCGGCUUUGGUCGUCCGAGUUGUAUUCUAGAGAAGUGUUUUCCGCGUUGGACCGUGUAUAAGUCUCUUGGAAUAGAGCGUCAUAGAGGGUGAGAAUCCCGUCUUUGACACGGACUACCAAUGCUUUGUGAUACACUCUCAAAGAGUCGAGUUGUUUGGGAAUGCAGCUCAAAAUGGGUGGUAAAUUCCAUCUAAAGCUA
This 605-nucleotide ribosomal RNA is filed under the name Irpex lacteus. RNAcentral describes it as "eukaryotic LSU rRNA". The stretch from base 283 to 605 matches the Rfam family "Eukaryotic large subunit ribosomal RNA", at positions 1 to 318 of the family's 3401-position model. Lineage: Eukaryota; Fungi; Basidiomycota; Agaricomycetes; Polyporales; Irpicaceae. The record is from RNAcentral.